This 395-nucleotide ribosomal RNA is filed under the name uncultured bacterium. RNAcentral describes it as "bacterial SSU rRNA". It matches the Rfam family "Bacterial small subunit ribosomal RNA", at positions 30 to 424 of the family's 1533-position model. The record is from RNAcentral.
AUUGAACGCUGGCGGAAUGCUUUACACAUGCAAGUCGAACGGCAGCACGGGAGCUUGCUCCUGGUGGCGAGUGGCGAACGGGUGAGUAACAUAUCGGAACGUACCCAGUCGUGGGGGAUAACUAUCCGAAAGGAUAGCUAAUACCGCAUACGUCCUGAGGGAGAAAGCGGGGGAUCGCAAGACCUCGCGCGAUUGGAGCGGCCGAUAUCGGAUUAGCUAGUUGGUGGGGUAAAGGCUCACCAAGGCGACGAUCCGUAGCGGGUCUGAGAGGACGACCCGCCACACUGGAACUGAGACACGGUCCAGACUCCUACGGGAGGCAGCAGUGGGGAAUUUUGGACAAUGGGGGGCAACCCUGAUCCAGCCAUUCCGCGUGAGUGAAGAAGGCCUCGGUU